GAGGGGACACCUCAGAGGUAGAGGGGAUGCUUGGCAUGCAUGAGGUCCUGGAUUCAAUCCCCAGUCCUUCCA
This 72-nucleotide transfer RNA is filed under the name Camelus bactrianus (Bactrian camel). It matches the Rfam family "tRNA". From Rfam's summary of the family: Transfer RNA (tRNA) molecules are approximately 80 nucleotides in length. Their secondary structure includes four short double-helical elements and three loops (D, anti-codon, and T loops). RNAcentral also lists the same sequence under 2 other names. Lineage: Eukaryota; Metazoa; Chordata; Mammalia; Artiodactyla; Camelidae. The record is from Rfam by way of RNAcentral.